CAGGCCUAACACAUGCAAGUCGAACGAACUCUUCGGAGUUAGUGGCGGACGGGUGAGUAACACGUGGGAACGUGCCUUUAGGUUCGGAAUAACUCAGGGAAACUUGUGCUAAUACCGAAUGUGCCCUUCGGGGGAAAGAUUUAUCGCCUUUAGAGCGGCCCGCGUCUGAUUAGCUAGUUGGUGAGGUAAAGGCUCACCAAGGCGACGAUCAGUAGCUGGUCUGAGAGGAUGAUCAGCCACAUUGGGACUGAGACACGGCCCAAACUCCUACGGGAGGCAGCAGUGGGGAAUCUUGCGCAAUGGGCGAAAGCCUGACGCAGCCAUGCCGCGUGAAUGAUGAAGGUCUUAGGAUUGUAAAAUUCUUUCACCGGGGACGAUAAUGACGGUACCCGGAGAAGAAGCCCCGGCUAACUUCGUGCCAGCAGCCGCGGUAAUACGAAGGGGGCUAGCGUUGCUCGGAAUUACUGGGCGUAAAGGGAGCGUAGGCGGACAUUUAAGUCAGGGGUGAAAUCCCGGGGCUCAACCUCGGAAUUGCCUUUGAUACUGGGUGUCUUGAGUAUGAGAGAGGUGUGUGGAACUC
RNAcentral lists this ribosomal RNA (580 nucleotides) under uncultured bacterium. RNAcentral's name for it is "bacterial SSU rRNA". It matches the Rfam family "Bacterial small subunit ribosomal RNA", at positions 43 to 669 of the family's 1533-position model. The record is from RNAcentral.